This 386-nucleotide ribosomal RNA is filed under the name uncultured bacterium. RNAcentral describes it as "bacterial SSU rRNA". It matches the Rfam family "Bacterial small subunit ribosomal RNA", at positions 29 to 414 of the family's 1533-position model. The record is from RNAcentral.
AUUGAACGCUGGCGGCAUGCCUUACACAUGCAAGUCGAACGGCAGCAUGGGUGCUUGCACCUGAUGGCGAGUGGCGAACGGGUGAGUAAUGCAUCGGAACGUACCCGGAAGUGGGGGAUAACGUAGCGAAAGUUACGCUAAUACCGCAUAUUCUGUGAGCAGGAAAGCGGGGGAUCGCAAGACCUCGCGCUUCCGGAGCGGCCGAUGUCGGAUUAGCUAGUUGGCGGGGUAAAGGCCCACCAAGGCAACGAUCCGUAGCGGGUCUGAGAGGAUGAUCCGCCACACUGGGACUGAGACACGGCCCAGACUCCUACGGGAGGCAGCAGUGGGGAAUUUUGGACAAUGGGCGCAAGCCUGAUCCAGCCAUGCCGCGUGAGUGAAGAAGG